RNAcentral lists this ribosomal RNA (497 nucleotides) under uncultured bacterium. RNAcentral describes it as "partial 16S ribosomal RNA". It matches the Rfam family "Bacterial small subunit ribosomal RNA", at positions 28 to 507 of the family's 1533-position model. The record is from RNAcentral.
GAUGAACGCUGGCGGCGUGCCUAAUACAUGCAAGUCGAGCGAACGGACGAGAAGCUUGCUUCUCUGAUGUUAGCGGCGGACGGGUGAGUAACACGUGGAUAACCUACCUAUAAGACUGGGAUAACUUCGGGAAACCGGAGCUAAUACCGGAUGAUAUUUUGAACCGCAUGGUUCAAAAGUGAAAGACGGUCUUGCUGUCACUUAUAGAUGGAUCCGCGCUGCAUUAGCUAGUUGGUAAGGUAACGGCUUACCAAGGCAACGAUGCAUAGCCGACCUGAGAGGGUGAUCGGCCACACUGGAACUGAGACACGGUCCAGACUCCUACGGGAGGCAGCAGUAGGGAAUCUUCCGCAGUGGGCGAAAGCCUGACGGAGCAACGCCGCGUGAGUGAUGAAGGUCUUCGGAUCGUAAAACUCUGUUAUUAGGGAAGAACAUAUGUGUAAGUAACUGUGCAUAUCUUGACGGUACCUAAUCAGAAAGCCACGGCUAACUACGUG